UCAGAGACCGUUCGGAGAUUACUUAUCUAGACUACGCUCAGAGAUGGGAAUGGAAGAUCACCAUUCAGUACCCUUAGAGAAAUUCAAGUUCUUGAGUUUUGAGGGAGGUAUGGUCGCCAGACUGAACUUUAAAGAGAAAUUGACGGAAGGGCACCACCCAGGAGUGGGAGCCCUGCGCCUUAAUUUGACUCCAACACGGGAAAACUUACCAGGUCCCAGACAUAGUAAGGAUUGACCAGAUUGAUAGCUCUUUUCUUGAUUCUAUGGGUGGUGGUGCAUGGCCGUUCUUAGUUGGUGGAGUGAUUUGUCUGGUUAAUUCCGAUAACGAACGAGACCCUUAACCUGCUAACUAGAUAUUUUCAUUUUAUGAAUAUAUCUUCUUAGAGGGACUAUAGGCGUGCCCGUAUAUGGAAAGUUUGAAAAAAAUGGCAAGGUCUGUGAUGCCCUUGUGUGUCCUGUGCUGCGCGCGUGCUACACUGAUAUAUACAACAAGUGCCUAGCUAGAUAUAGUAUGGCAAUCUCGAAUAUAUAGUAGAGAUAGGGAUAGAUCUUUGCAAUUAUAGAUCUUGAACGAGGAAUUCCUAGUAAGUGCAAGUCAUCAUCUUGCAUUGAUUAUGUCCCUACCCUUUGUACACACCGCCCGUCGCUCCUACCGAUACCGGGUGAUCCGGUGAACCUGCGGACCCUUUGGGAAAUUUUUAUCCUAACCUGGAAUUAUAACACCGCGCUUCCUGCUCGAUUCUUCUGGCCGCUUUUACCACCUGCGCCCCGCCU
Molecule: ribosomal RNA, 774 nt
Filed under: uncultured rumen protozoa
Lineage: Eukaryota
Description: bacterial SSU rRNA
Rfam family: Eukaryotic small subunit ribosomal RNA
Source: RNAcentral